This 165-nucleotide non-coding RNA is filed under the name uncultured Roseburia sp. The record is from RNAcentral. Lineage: Bacteria; Bacillati; Bacillota; Clostridia; Lachnospirales; Lachnospiraceae.
UUGGAAGAAAAUUAGAAAAACUUAGUAUGCCUGUCAACACACAGUGAUGUUCUGCCACGGAUGGCAGAACAAGGCAGCAUCGAGUCACGGAUGACUCGUUGCUGCCGCUCACGUCCCUCCGAGAAAAACAACAUCAGGCAUACUUAGCUUUUCUUAUUUUCGCAC